Molecule: transfer RNA, 82 nt
Filed under: Lepisosteus oculatus (spotted gar)
Lineage: Eukaryota; Metazoa; Chordata; Actinopteri; Semionotiformes; Lepisosteidae
Rfam family: tRNA
About the family: Transfer RNA (tRNA) molecules are approximately 80 nucleotides in length.
Source: Rfam by way of RNAcentral
ACCAGGAUGGCUGAGUGGUUAAGGUGUUGGACUUACAUCCAAUGGAUAAAUGUCUGUGUGGGUUCGAACCCCACUCCUGGUA